Gymnogyps californianus (California condor) is the source of this 6304-nucleotide RNA transcript. It is a transcript of the gene named PR/SET domain 10, with no coding region annotated. Lineage: Eukaryota; Metazoa; Chordata; Aves; Accipitriformes; Cathartidae. The transcript has 23 exons. The record is from RefSeq and is a predicted model, not a curated record.
AGAAACACAGUGAACAGAUGAAUCUAUUCAGCCAGAUAUUCCUCCAGUAGAUCUCUCCCCUCAUGGAGCACCACGGCAGGGAGGAGAUGGACUCAAAAGAGGAAAGUCCUCAGGUGUGGGCUGACUCUGCUGAGCAGGAACAGAAUACUGCUCAGGUGCACUUUGUCCCUGAGGGGGGGACAGUGGCACAGAUUGUGUACAGCGAUGAGCAGGACCGUCCCUCGCAGCAGGUGGUCUACACGGCGGAUGGCACCUCCUACACCUCCGUGGACACCUCGGAGCACACGCUCGUUUACAUCCAUCCCGUGGAAGCUACGCAGACUCUGUUUACAGAUCCGUCCCAAGUGGCUUACGUCCAACAGGAUGCCACCACCCAGCAGGUAACUGUGCUCUUGCCUGCUGCUGCUCAGAGCAUGAAUCCCACCAACCUGUCCGUGCUCGGCAACGUUGCCGAAUCCCCCCAGCAAAUGGCUCUGGAGCAGGGUCCACAAGCAGAUAGAGCAUCGUUACCGGUGCAUAACCAGGUGUUACCUCCUAUGGAGGCAGUGGAUGGUUCUGACCCUUUAGCACCUCUGCAGAAUCAAAUGGGAAGGAUGGAAACAAAAGAGGAAGAUGACGAGGAUGAAGAUGAGGAUGAAGACGGGGAAGACACUGACAUGGAUGAAUGGGAACCAGAUCCACCUCGACCCUUUGAUCCCAAUGAUUUGUGGUGUGAAGAGUGUAAUAACGCGCAUCCCUCUGUGUGUCCAAAACACGGACCUUUGCAUCCAAUCCCAAAUCGGCCUGUGCUGACCAGGGCGAGAGCCAGCCUCCCCUUGGUGCUCUAUAUAGACAGGUUUUUGGGAGGUGUGUUCUCCAAAAGGCGUAUCCCAAAACGCACGCAGUUUGGACCUGUGGAAGGACCCCUGGUUAGACAAACUGAACUCAAAGACUGCUACAUCCAUUUGAAGGUUUCUCUUGAUAAGGGUGACAGAAAAGACAGAGACUUGCAAGAGGACCUGUGGUUUGAACUUUCUAGCGAGGCUCUUUGUAACUGGAUGAUGUUUGUGCGUCCAGCUCAAAACCAUUUGGAGCAGAACCUGGUAGCGUAUCAGUACGGCCACCAUAUUUAUUACACAACCAUUAAAAACGUGGAGCCCAAGCAGGAACUCAAGGUGUGGUAUGCUGCCUCUUACGCAGAGUUUGUGAACCAGAAGAUCCAUGACAUAUCUGAGGAGGAAAGGAAGGUUCUCAGAGAGCAAGAGAAGAACUGGCCGUGUUACGAGUGCAAUCGUCGUUUCAUGAGCUCAGAGCAACUCCAGCAGCACCUCAACUCCCAUGAUGAGAAGCUGGACUUCUUCAGCAGAGCCAGAGGCCGAGGUCGUGGGCGAGGAAAGAGGAGGUUUGGACCAGGCAGACGCCCGGGGCGCCCUCCCAAAUUCAUGCGUAUGGAAGUAACCAGUGAAAAUGGGGAAAAGUGUGAAGAAGGGACGCAGGACUUGCUGCAUUUUUCCAGCAAGGGGCAGUUUGAUGAGGCCGGACAAGCCACACUGAAUGGGUUGGAGCAGCAGGAACAGACUCCAGUGCCAUCAGAGACGCAGUCGGCACUGGAGCAGCAGUCAGAAAACCACCCGCUACAAAUCCAGCCGCAGCAUGAUGAGAGCACGGUGCCUACGCAGAGCACCAUGACAGCAGAUGACAUGAGGCGAGCAAAGCGUAUCAGGAAUGCAGCUCUUCAGCACCUGUUCAUACGGAAAUCCUUUCGCCCGUUCAAAUGCCUCCAGUGUGGGAAGGCCUUCCGCGAAAAGGACAAACUGGAUCAGCACUUGCGGUUUCAUGGACGGGAAGGGAACUGCCCUUUGACUUGUGACAUCUGCAACAAGGGCUUCAUCAACAGCGGUGCGCUCGAGAGCCACAUGAAGUUCCACAUGGACCAGAAGACAUACUCCUGCAUUUUCUGUCCUGAGUCCUUUGACCGCUUGGAUCUGCUUAAAGAUCACGUGGCCAUCCACGUCAAUGAUGGCUAUUUCACCUGCCCUACCUGCAAAAAACGCUUUCCGGAUUUUAUCCAGGUCAAGAAACACGUACGCAGUUUCCAUUCAGAAAAGAUUUACCAGUGUACAGAAUGUGACAAGGCUUUCUGCCGUCCUGACAAGCUGCGACUCCAUAUGUUGCGACACUCAGACCGCAAAGACUUCCUGUGCUCCACGUGUGGCAAGCAGUUCAAGAGGAAAGACAAACUGCGAGAGCACAUGCAGAGGAUGCACAACCCAGAGAGGGAGGCCAAGAAAGCUGAUCGAAUCAGCCGCUCAAAAACGUUCAAGCCUCGGAUAGCUUCCACUGACUACGAAAGCUUCAUGUUCAAGUGCCGACUCUGUAUGAUGGGUUUCCGCCGGAGGGGGAUGUUGGUGAAUCAUUUAUCAAAGAGACAUCCAGACAUGAAAAUAGAAGAGGUGCCAGAGCUCACGUUGCCAAUCAUCAAACCCAACAGAGAUUAUUUCUGUCAGUACUGUGAUAAGGUGUACAAGAGUGCCAGCAAACGCAAAGCACACAUCCUGAAGAACCAUCCUGGUGCUGAGCUACCUCCAAGCAUCCGGAAGCUGCGCCCUGCGGGUCCAGGAGAGCCGGAUCCCAUGCUGAGCACCCACACCCAGCUGACAGGCACCAUAGCCACCCCUCCAGUCUGCUGUCCUCACUGUUCCAAGCAGUACAGCAGUAAGACGAAGAUGGUACAACACAUUCGCAAAAAGCACCCGGAGUUUGCUCAGCUCCCUAACACAAUACAUGCCCCGCUGGCGACAGCUGUCAUCAGUUCCGCUCCUGCCGUUCUAACCACCGACAGCACUACCGGAGAGACUGUUGUGACAACAGAUUUACUGACACAGGCAAUGACGGAGAUAUCCCAGACCCUCACAACAGACUAUCGAACUCCCCAGGGAGAUUACCAGCGAAUCCAGUACAUCCCUGUGUCUCAAUCCACAACUGGCUUGCAGCAGCCUCAGCACAUACAGCUGCAGGUUGUUCAAGUGGCCCAGGCUACCUCACCUCACCAGUCCCAGCACUCCACAGUGGACGUUGGGCAGCUUCAUGACCCCCAGACAUACACCCAGCAUGCUAUCCAGGUGCAGCACAUCCAGGUCACAGAGCCAUCGCCAGCAACUCAGUCGUCCUCGCAGGUUGGGGGUCAGCCUUUGAGUCCCUCCUCACAACAAUCUCAGCAGGAACUCAGCCCCUCACAGAUGCAGACAACUACAUCGACACCAAACCAAGCCCUCCAGCAGCAGCAAGGAUCUUCAGUCCAGCACACGUAUCUUCCCAGCACGUGGAACUCAUUUCGGAGCUAUUCAUCUGAGAUUCAGAUGAUGACCAUUCCCCAAGGCCAGUACGUGAUCACAGAGACCGCUGUAGGUACACCGGUCACCACUGUCAACACAGGGCAAGUGAAAGCAGUUACUCAGACUCACUAUGUGAUAUCUGAAGGUCAGCCUGAUCUGGAUGUCAAACAAAACUCUUCGCUCUCCAGCGAGGUACAGGUCGGCGUUUCCCAGCCACCAGCCCACACGGAUACCUUGGAAUCGCAAACGAGCAGCCAGCAGCAAACCACCCAGUACAUCAUCACUACAACCACCAACGGGAACGGCGGCAGUGAAGUGCACAUCACUAAACCAAGAACUUUCUCUGCAGAACACGAAUGAAGAAGCCUCGCGGUGUCACUUGCUUGUACUUGUCACCUCCCCCGAAAGCCCAGAUAUAUGGGUAUCCUGGAGCUCAAUAUGUUUUAAAGUAUAUGCUCACUUAACUUCAACUAAAAUCUUGGAGCUCUUCUUAAUGCUUUAAGAGGGUUUAAGUCCCCGGUGACCACGAAGACGUACCCUCAAAAUCCUUCCGGGAUGCUAUUUUAUGCAGCUUUUAACAAAAAGGACAAGAGGAGAAGUGAAACCUCUGCUUGCUCUGGACUUUAUUUUUGGCAUGUCUGCUGACCCCUAUUUUUCCUUUUUGGAAGUGUCUCCAGUAAACAACUUUUUAUUUCAAUUGUAUGGGGAAAAAGCUUGCCUAACUGAAAGCUAACGGGCAGAUUGUCGUAUGUAUAUUUUUAAUAGGAGCCGUUAAACAGGAGGACAUCGUGUAAAUUGCCAGAAUAUGGCAGAACUGCUUCCUGUGUCUUUGUUUCAGCAGCCAAGGUGAAAGGGAAUAUAGCAGCUCCAUGCGAGCAGACUGCCUGGAGAAAAAGAGCAGCAGCAAAGCGGUGGCUCCUUCCGUACGUGUGCGGGGAUGGAUGUAACAAUGAAGCUGUGAAGAUGUGCCGAAGCAGUCCAUUAAAUUAUUAUUUUUCCAGCCCUCCAGAACUGUUUACAUGCUGUCUGCCCUGCCCUAUUUUACCAAGCAGUUCCAGAAAGAAGGAUAAGUGCAGUCUUAAACCCGUGUCAUGCGGAGCAAACUGACUGAAAUCAUAGUAGCGCGUCUGGUUGGUUGGUUAUUUAAUGCAUUCUGGUAUUUGCAAGACUACAACUCCAUUGACUCCUGAUGGGAUAUACAGUGUGUGUCUAAACCUCCAUUCGCUGCCUGAAAACUCAUCCCAGAAUGUCUGUGCGUAAUAAGAUACAUUUAUUUAUAAAACAAAAGCAAAGAAGGAUGUUUUGUCUGAAUGGCCCUUGAGACUGAAGAACUGAGAGAGGGGUUUUUUUUGAUUCGUUUUCUCUUGUGCUGCACGGAGUGUGAACGCGGGACUCCUUUGCAUAAGUACUCCCGCAGAUUUAGAUGAGGAUUACCCGUGUGAGUAAGCGGUACAGGUGUUUACAGGUUGUGGUAUCGGGCCUCAUGCAGUUAAAGCUCUUAGACGUGAGAGAACUUCACACUCGGACUGGACAAGAGGAAGUCUGGUUCCUUGCGGGCGAAGCCUGGUAGCAGGUAUUGCUUUGGUAAUUAACACCUCUGUUAAUAUGGCGUGGAAAUAGUGACCGUGUGUGUAAAAUGAAUCAGAUUUGAAAACACCGGCCAGCUCAGUACUGUUUUGAGGUAGCUUUGAAGUGACUUGCCAAAACGUGGAUUAAUUUGUUCCUGGGAUUUCGCUUCUCUUGCUGUACCACCGUACUGGGGCAUUAACGAGAUCGGGAAAGUUAAUGAGGACCGGAGCUCCCGUUUAGUCAAAUGCAGUGAUGAGUGUCGUGAAAUUCGGUGGAUUUGGGAGCCCAUCGACUUUAGCAGCCUGGCCAAGCGACUGCAGUUCCCGCGAACUCAUUUGGAGUCGUGUUGCUGAGGGCUUCUGAAUUACGACGUUGGGUGUUGCGAUGAUGGUGGUGUGGGAGAAGGGAGAUUUUUGUCUUGGCUUUCUUCGGGCUGCUAGGUGAUGUAAUAACGAGUCAAAAAUGGUAGGAGUUAGUAGGAGAAUAGGAGACUUGAAAAUGGGAUGUUCCAGGUGGAUACUGCCCUACAGGAGCAGUUUUAAAGUCUUAAAAGGUCUAUAGUCUUUAUAGAUGGACAUCAAACUGAUUCCCCUUAACGAUAUUGCAGAUGUGGGGUUUGAAGAAUAUUUUGCUCCAUUCACCUUUGUUAGAAAGGAUCACAGAACGAGGACGAUUGUACCGGUUAUUUAAAGCUGAAAACUAGAAAGUGUUCCAGAAAACAAUUUUAAAACUGCUUCUUGGAACUCAAAUCUUCCUUAUCAAAGUUUUCUGCUCUGUCCCACAGCAACAGCAGUGUACUCGGGCCAUCAGCCUGACACCCGCGUUACCGAUUCACCGUGUCCCAAGUUAAACAAAUGCCUCGUGGCACAAGAAGCAUCCCUGGAAAUAGAAGUAUUAUGAAUUUUCCUUCCAAAGUAAGGAACUACAGUGAUUGCACCGAUGGCAGGGGCCUGCUUUUAGAAAGACGACAAAAAAAAAAAACCCGAACAAAAAAAAAGACAACAGUUUGCAUGGAUUUCUUCCGAUUUCUGCAGUGCAGAAGGUAGAGGAUUUAUUAUUAUUUUUAAACCAGAGCAACCCAAACAUCUCUCUCAAGUAAUGUCCCACAGGAGCUCAGCUCUGGAGCCCUCUCGGUUUUCUGCAAGGGCCAAUAUUUUGCUCAAAGAUCGGCAGCGCUGCGGGCUCCUUGGAGGCCUAGUGCUGUUCCUGGUAGGUGUUUUGGGUCUGAUUCUGUAUUUUCCUGGAGGGGAAAGAAAAACAAACAAACAAACAAAAAACAACCCACUACAGAACCAAGCACCCUGAAUUUGCAUCUCUCGGACUGCUCGGGCUGUUUUGCUCUGCCCCUUCUCUUAUUUAACUGUGUAUGUUUGUUGUACAUUCAGUGACUGUUACUGUGUUCAUGGUCUCGUGCAACCUGG